GCCGGCGUAGCUCAGGGGCAGAGCGCCCGCCUUGUAAGCGGGUGGUCGUCGGUUCGAAUCCGACCGCCGGCU
Molecule: transfer RNA, 72 nt
Filed under: Actinomycetota bacterium
Lineage: Bacteria; Bacillati; Actinomycetota
Description: Actinobacteria bacterium (sediment metagenome) tRNA-Thr
Rfam family: tRNA
About the family: Transfer RNA (tRNA) molecules are approximately 80 nucleotides in length. Their secondary structure includes four short double-helical elements and three loops (D, anti-codon, and T loops). Further hydrogen bonds mediate the characteristic L-shaped molecular structure. tRNAs have two regions of fundamental functional importance: the anti-codon, which is responsible for specific mRNA codon recognition, and the 3' end, to which the tRNAs corresponding amino acid is attached (by aminoacyl-tRNA synthetases). tRNAs cope with the degeneracy of the genetic code in two manners: having more than one tRNA (with a specific anti-codon) for a particular amino acid; and 'wobble' base-pairing, i.e. permitting non-standard base-pairing at the 3rd anti-codon position.
Source: RNAcentral